CCUACGGGAGGCUGCAGUGAGGAAUAUUGGUCAAUGGGCGAAAGCCUGAACCAGCCAAGUCGCGUGAAGGAUGACGGCCCUAUGGGUUGUAAACUUCUUUUAUCCGGGAGCAAUUGAGUCCACGUGUGGGCUUAGCGAUAGUACCUGAAGAAAAAGCAUCGGCUAACUCCGUGCCAGCAGCGGCGGUAAUACGGAGGAUGCGAGCUUUAUCCGGUUUUAUGGGGUUUAAGGGGUGCGUAGGCGGAAGAUCAACUUAGCGUGAAAUAUUCGGGGCCCAACCCGGUCGUGCCGCGGAAACUGGCGUGCUUGAGUGCGCGGGAAGCAGGCGGAAUGCGUCGUGUAGCGGUGAAAUGCUUAGAUAUGACGAAGAACCCCGAUUGCGAAGGCAGCUUGCUGGAGCCGAACUGACGCUGAUGCACGAAAGCGCGGGUAUCGAACAGGAUUAGAUACCCGGGUAGUC
Molecule: ribosomal RNA, 460 nt
Filed under: uncultured bacterium
Lineage: Bacteria
Description: partial 16S ribosomal RNA
Rfam family: Bacterial small subunit ribosomal RNA
Source: RNAcentral